Molecule: non-coding RNA, 85 nt
Filed under: uncultured Eubacterium sp.
Lineage: Bacteria; Bacillati; Bacillota; Clostridia; Eubacteriales; Eubacteriaceae
Description: TPP riboswitch (THI element)
Rfam family: TPP riboswitch aptamer (THI element)
About the family: Vitamin B(1) in its active form thiamin pyrophosphate (TPP) is an essential coenzyme that is synthesised by coupling of pyrimidine and thiazole moieties in bacteria.
Source: RNAcentral
AGCUAGGGGAGCGGCAGCUGAGAAUGCGGGGAAAUCCCGCGUACCCUUAUUACCUGAUCUGGAUAACACCAGCGUAGGGAAGCAA